GCUGGCGGCGUGCUUAAUACAUGCAAGUCGAACGCUCUCGACCUUCGGGUCACUGAGAGAGUGGCGAACGGGUGCGUAACACGUGAGAAACCUACCCCGAAGACGGGAAUAGCCCGAGGAAACUCGGAUUAAUACCCGAUAUCUCCACACUGUCGCAUGACAGAGUGAAGAAAGUUCCGGCGCUUCGGGAGGGUCUCGCGGCCUAUCAGCUUGUUGGUGAGGUAACGGCUCACCAAGGCAUCGACGGGUAGCUGGUCUGAGAGGACGAUCAGCCACACUGGGACUGAGACACGGCCCAGACUCCUACGGGAGGCAGCAGUAGGGAAUCUUGCGCAAUGGGCGAAAGCCUGACGCAGCAACGCCGCGUGGGGGAUGAAUGCCUUCGGGUUGUAAACCCCUUUCAGCAGGGACGAAAUUGACGGUACCUGCAGAAGAAGGUCCGGCCAACUACGUGCCAGCAGCCGCGGUAAUACGUAGGGACCGAGCGUUGUCCGGAAUUAUUGGGCGUAAAGAGCUCGUAGGCGGUUCAGUAAGUCGGGUGUGAAAACUCAAGGCUCAACCUUGAGACGCCACUCGAUACUGCUGUGACUUGAGUCCGGUAGAGGAGUGUGGAAUUCCUGGUGUAGCGGUGAAAUGCGCAGAUAUCAGGAGGAACACCAACAGCGAAGGCAGCACUCUGGGCCGGCACUGACGCUGAGGAGCGAAAGCAUGGGGAGCAAACAGGAUUAGAUACCCUGGUAGUCCAUGCCGUAAACGUUGGGCACUAGGUAUGGGACCAUAUCAACGGGUUCCGUGCCGUAGCUAACGCAUUAAGUGCCCCGCCUGGGGAGUACGG
This 835-nucleotide ribosomal RNA is filed under the name uncultured Acidimicrobiales bacterium. RNAcentral describes it as "bacterial SSU rRNA". It matches the Rfam family "Bacterial small subunit ribosomal RNA", at positions 35 to 885 of the family's 1533-position model. Lineage: Bacteria; Bacillati; Actinomycetota; Acidimicrobiia; Acidimicrobiales. The record is from RNAcentral.